GAAAACUGUAGAGAGGGAUUAACACCUUAGCCCAUAAGUACAAGGCCAUAGGGCCUGUGGUGAUGAUGGUGGGAAGUGUAGGCCAAGGUAGUUGUUAUUAUUUGGAACUUGGCCAUAAGAUCCACAUGAUCAUGGUUGUUUACUUACGGCAAUAAAAGUGAGCAAGGAUCCAGGAUUGUGGACGAGGAACCAAUGGGUACAACAGUAGUCACUGAGUCUCUAGAGCUCUAGCCUAAUCAUGGACUAAAUAUUAAGUCCCAUAAGGUUGGGAGUGGGGGAAGGAGUGAGAGGGUAGGCUAUUCGAAUUAGCCUAAGGACUGAGACAAGGCUGAACGAAAUUAUGGACCAAGCUAUGGAAAGCUGGAGGGAGAAGGUGGAGGGAAGUGAGGUAGAGUCUAACAGUGGUGAAGACCAGUGAUUCAUUGCGGGUUCCCUAUUGAACCUAAAUUGCUGGGAUGUUUUCUAUCACCCUCACAGAUGGCCAACAUGCCCAGCAAUUCUUUGGAUCACAGGUGGCGUUGAGAUGCUGAUUCUGCAUGGAAGAGUGUGGGUGGCACCCGCCUGCCCCAGCAGGGCCCCGGGCACUUUGUGGAGCUCUCCGAUGCCAGCUCUCUCACCGUCACCCUGCUCAUGGACCUCCAGGUGGAGAGGCCUGCGGACCCUGUUGGAGCUGCUCAACUCCUCACAUCGGACCCGGGGCUUCAGCUGGUAUAACUGGCCACUGGCUCGGAUGAUGGUGCAACUUGG
RNAcentral lists this long non-coding RNA (747 nucleotides) under Vulpes vulpes (red fox). Its description in RNAcentral is "lncRNA (ENSVVUG00000014353.1)". The record is from RNAcentral. Lineage: Eukaryota; Metazoa; Chordata; Mammalia; Carnivora; Canidae.